UACGGAAGGCAGCAGUGGGGAAUAUUGCACAAUGGGCGAAAGCCUGAUGCAGCUAUGCCGCGUGUAUGAAGAAGGCCUUAGGGUUGUAAAGUACUUUCAUCGGGGAGGAAAAACAAAACUAAUAAUUUUAUUUCUUGACGUUACCCGAAAAAGAAGCACCGGCUAACUCCGUGCCAGCAGCCGCGGUAAUACGGAGGGUGCUAGCGUUAAUCAGAAUUACUGGGCGUAAAGAGCACGUAGGUGGUUUUUUUAAAGUCAGAUGUGAAUCCCUGGGCUUAACCUGGAACUGCAUUUUGAAACUGAAAUACUAGAGUAUCGUAGAGGGAGGUAGAAUUCUAGGUGUAGCGGUGAAAUGCGUAGAUAUCUGGAGGAAUACCUGUGGCGAAAGCGGCCUCCUAAACGAAUACUGACACUGAGGUGCGAAAGCGUGGGGAGCAAACAGGGAUUAGAUACC
RNAcentral lists this ribosomal RNA (454 nucleotides) under uncultured bacterium. Its description in RNAcentral is "bacterial SSU rRNA". It matches the Rfam family "Bacterial small subunit ribosomal RNA", at positions 340 to 786 of the family's 1533-position model. The record is from RNAcentral.